This 582-nucleotide ribosomal RNA is filed under the name root-associated fungal sp. EP2-1. RNAcentral describes it as "eukaryotic LSU rRNA". The stretch from base 242 to 395 matches the Rfam family "5.8S ribosomal RNA". The record is from RNAcentral. Lineage: Eukaryota; Fungi.
AAGGAUCAUUAUUGAAUACGAUUGGUACUGAUGCUGGCUCUUCACUGAGCAUGUGCUCGUCCAUCUAUUUAUCUUCUCUUGUGCCCAUCUUGUAGUCUUGAAUGAAACCUCUCGCAGUCAAUGCGGUUUGGGAGAUUGUUAGCCCUUCUCCUGCUUCUUCAAGGCUAUGUUUUCAUAUACACUAUAAAGUUACAGAAUGUCUUUUAACGAUUGUGCUUGUCACAGUCAUUAAACCUUAUACAACUUUCAGCAACGGAUCUCUUGGCUCUCCUAUCGAUGAAGAACGCAGCGAAAUGCGAUAAGUAAUGUGAAUUGCAGAAUUCAGUGAAUCAUCGAAUCUUUGAACGCACCUUGCGCCCUUUGGUAUUCCGAAGGGCAUGCCUGUUUGAGUGUCAUUAAAUUAUCAACCUUGCUCUCUUUUGAGUUCAAGGCUUGGAUGUGAGGGUUUUUGCUGGCUUCCUUCAGUGGAUGGUCUGCUCCCUUUAAAUGCAUUAGUGGGAUCUCUUGUGGACCGUCACUUGGUGUGAUAAUUAUCUAUGCCAUUUUGACCUCAAAUCAGGUAGGACUACCCGCUGAACUUAA